AACGAACGCUGGCGGCAUGCCUAACACAUGCAAGUCGAUCGAGACCUUCGGGUCUAGUGGCGCACGGGUGCGUAACGCGUGGGAAUCUGCCCUUGGGUUCGGAAUAACUCACCGAAAGGUGUGCUAAUACCGGAUGAUGACGUAAGUCCAAAGAUUUAUCGCCCAAGGAUGAGCCCGCGUAGGAUUAGCUAGUUGGUGGGGUAAAGGCCUACCAAGGCGACGAUCCUUAGCUGGUCUGAGAGGAUGAUCAGCCACACUGGGACUGAGACACGGCCCAGACUCCUACGGGAGGCAGCAGUGGGGAAUAUUGGACAAUGGGCGAAAGCCUGAUCCAGCAAUGCCGCGUGAGUGAUGAAGGUCUUAGGAUUGUAAAGCUCUUUUACCCGGGAUGAUAAUGA
This 398-nucleotide ribosomal RNA is filed under the name Sphingomonas sp. oral taxon F56. RNAcentral describes it as "bacterial SSU rRNA". It matches the Rfam family "Bacterial small subunit ribosomal RNA", at positions 29 to 454 of the family's 1533-position model. Lineage: Bacteria; Pseudomonadati; Pseudomonadota; Alphaproteobacteria; Sphingomonadales; Sphingomonadaceae. The record is from RNAcentral.